ACUGGUCUUCCGUCAAGGGUAUACAAGUAGCUGUGCUCCCCUGCUAGAACUUCCAAACAAGCUCUCAAGGUCCAUUGUAGGAAAGUAGGGUAGUAAAGCUUAUGGACUACCCAAAAACUGUGAACCUUGGCAUGGGUCGGGUAAUCCACUAGU
RNAcentral lists this small nuclear RNA (153 nucleotides) under Rattus norvegicus (Norway rat). Its description in RNAcentral is "7SK RNA". It matches the Rfam family "7SK RNA", at positions 172 to 331 of the family's 331-position model. Rfam says of the family: 7SK was discovered as an abundant small nuclear RNA in the mid-70s but a possible function has only recently been suggested. Two independent studies have found that 7SK RNA binds the CDK9/cyclin T complex (known as elongation factor P-TEFb). P-TEFb activates transcription by phosphorylating the C-terminal domain of RNA polymerase II. Lineage: Eukaryota; Metazoa; Chordata; Mammalia; Rodentia; Muridae. The record is from Rfam by way of RNAcentral.